GGCGGCGAAGAUUUUUUGCUAGUCCCGCCACCAACAGGGUUUCGCCGGUGAUGUCGGAACCAUUCGUCGGCGCCGUUCACGCGGGAGGGUUGGGGAUUCUUGGGGGCAGAGAUCGUCGAGUGGAUGCUAUGAACCCAACUACGACCCUGAUGACGGUUCGUCAAACACUGAGAGUUGCGAUGAGAGCAUUGCAUCUAGUGAUGAAGAAUCUGUAUCCAGGAGGAAGAAGUUAUUAGAAGAUGCUUUAUUUGAUUUUUGUAGGAAGGAGGCAGUCAAAUCACUCGAGAUUUUUCAAAAUUGUACGAGAACAUGGUGAUUCAUUAGAGAUAUACAUCUGGGCAAGGCAUUGCGAUGCAUUCAGCGCACGGGGUCUUCCGCUUAGCUGCAAGGUCCGCGUUUCGCUGAGCCCGCAAUGCCUUCCUCUCAUCCGGUGGUAUGCUCUGCCUGCGUGCUCUUCGACGGGCGUUCAUCUCUUGCCUCUGCUCAACUGGUAUAUUUUUACUCGCUGCCCUUCUACGGGCGUUCAUCUCUUGCCUCUCCUUGGUUGUCAGAUUUUGUCUUGCAGCCCUUUGGCUCGUAUUCCUAUAUUCAAUAGUUUUAUUUUGUCUAGAUGCUCUUCGACGUGCAUUCACUUCUUCCCUUUGCUUGGGUGUUAGGCUAUCUCGCCUUGCUUUAUCACGGUUUCGUCUUUGUUGAUUUUUGUCUUCUUUAACGCGCUUGCAUUGGAAGCUAUAUCUUCAGCACCACUCGGUGUUCCUUGAGGUGAUGUAGGGUUUUCUACAUGACCAGUGUGUAAUUUGUUAAAUCCAAGACCCACAUUUGAAGCAAUAUACGCAGUACAUGGUUAGACUUAAUAAAUCUAGAUCUAUAGAUGACCAUACUUCACUGGUAAAAACGUCGUGUGAAAGGGUAAAUAUCAUUUGAUGUUCCCACAUGGUCCUGUGGCGCCAAUGCUAUCAUGGUACUGGUUGUGGGAAGCAUUGUAGCUAAUUGGGUGGAUGGUUCCCAUAUGAACAUUCCGUAUGACCGUUCCACAACAACAGUUAAGAUUACAAGAUGGUCAGCUUCAAAUCAUUAAUUUAAGACAUUAUGUCUCCACAAUUUGUUAGAGAAUACACAUCUCUUUUUCCCUUAUCCUCCGACAUCUUAUAAGCAAAUGUUGCAUGGAUAAUGAUUAACGACCUUUGGACCUUCACCACCGUGGUUCAUAAACAAAGUAAAAUAGUUGAUGCUACGAUUUCAGUCAAUAAAGAUGUUAUGAGGGAGAAUUCAGACAAAAAGGUCAAAAUAAAAUACAGUAUUAGUACAUGGUGCAUGGAUAGUGAAUUAGUGAUUAAGGCCCUUUGAACCUUCAACACCAUGGUUCAUAAACAAAGAAAAAUAAAUAAUAAUUACCUACAUACGCAGUUUCUCCUCCAUGCGCACAUUAUUGUCUUCUCCAGACAUCUAAUGAAUUUCUACAAGUUUGCUUGGUGAGGUUGCAUUUCUUAUUGCCCAAGUUGAAAGUUCCAGGAGACAAUCAGCAGUCGAUAUGCAGGUGAGUGUUGUGUAUCAUUCAUGAAGUUGAUUCAAAUCAAGAUGUGGCAGAAUAUUUCUUGAUAAGUGAUUUUUUGUAGUUACAACCCAUCUGGCCUACGAAUUGCAGAAACUAUUUCAAUCAUUUUUAGUAGUAGUUUCCGUUUCAAAAAAAAUUAGUAGUAGUUCGCCAUGCAUAUAUCAGGACUAUGAAGAUCCACAAGAAAGACGGCACUACGUCGGAGAAACAGAUGGCUUUGUCAAAAGGUGAACUCACCUCCGGGUGAUGAAAGCGACGCUGACAAGUUGAUAAUAAACUCAUGUGAGCUCCAUGGUGACCUGGUGUGAUCUCCAUCGUGAUCUCUCAGCGAUGUAUCGUCUUGGUGACUUGGUGUGAUCUCCAGCGUGAUCUUCCAGCUAUGUAUCGUCUUGGUGACCUGGCGUGAUCUCCUAGCGAUGUAUCGACUUGCUUGAUGGAGAGACCUACUACUUAUAAUGCUCGGAGAUGUUUGAAGGAGUUAUCAAUCUUGUCAGGCUUUCCUUAUCUCCACCCUGAUAUUUAGUAUAUGUAAUAAUUAGGCUAAUUAUUGUCAGGAUUCUAUGGUUUCUUUUCCUAUGUAUAUCAGUACGAGGGUGGGAGGAACGGAACGAUGGUGCUGAUC
Triticum dicoccoides is the source of this 2177-nucleotide long non-coding RNA. RefSeq lists it as uncharacterized. The record is from RefSeq and is a predicted model, not a curated record. The transcript has 3 exons. Lineage: Eukaryota; Viridiplantae; Streptophyta; Magnoliopsida; Poales; Poaceae.